This 31-nucleotide non-coding RNA is filed under the name Rattus norvegicus (Norway rat). The record is from RNAcentral. Lineage: Eukaryota; Metazoa; Chordata; Mammalia; Rodentia; Muridae.
AUGGGUCUUGGAGUUUUCUUAUUCCUGGAGC